AGUGUCGAACUUUUCAGGCUUUUGUACCUCUCGCAUGCAAAGCGAGCGCUUUACCAUUUAAGCUACAUCCUCAAAAUUCAGAAUCUUUUUAAAAGUUUUUCCGAAUUGGACUGGAAAAGUAGAAGACGGUCAAAAGCAAGAUAAGUUUUUCUAGAUUUGGACUAGAAGAAUAGAAGAUGGUCAAAAGUAAGAUUCACUGAAUCGAUACUGAAAUUUAUACCAAUUUGCUACGGGCUUGAUACAAGAUGAACUGAACAGUUCGCACUAGUUCGAUGGAUUAUGAUUCAAACCUUUUAAAAAGAUGGAACCAUCUUUUUAAAAAAUUCCUCAUUAGUUCAAUCCGGUGCAUGUUCCGAACCAUCUGGUUCCGGACGGUUUAGAAUGGUUCGAGAAGAAUUUCAAAAUUUAAGGUUAAACCAAUCCGAUUCCUCAUUAGUUCAGCUCGAUAUGGGGUGAACUAGAUGGUUCAGCCUGAUUUGGCAUACCUUGAUCAAAAAUCUGUAAGCUUGCACCAUAUGUUGUGUGGAGGGUAAUACUACACGUUGAUGAUAGCAGUACAAAAAUCAUAUUAGCAUAAUACAUGACCAACAAGGAUUCUGGGAGGGUGCAAUUAGAACAGCGGUCUCACUUUUGUUUGAUAUGGCCAUGAAGCACAAUAAACUAACAAAUCAAGUUCAGUUCUUAAUUCUUAUUAUCGUAUAUGGACCGUGAAUAAGAGGGAAG
Molecule: long non-coding RNA, 723 nt
Filed under: Phoenix dactylifera (date palm)
Lineage: Eukaryota; Viridiplantae; Streptophyta; Magnoliopsida; Arecales; Arecaceae
Description: long non-coding RNA (PDAC_LNC015844)
Source: RNAcentral